RNAcentral lists this ribosomal RNA (341 nucleotides) under Escherichia coli. RNAcentral's name for it is "bacterial SSU rRNA". It matches the Rfam family "Bacterial small subunit ribosomal RNA", at positions 1 to 338 of the family's 1533-position model. Lineage: Bacteria; Pseudomonadati; Pseudomonadota; Gammaproteobacteria; Enterobacterales; Enterobacteriaceae. The record is from RNAcentral.
AAAUUGAAGAGUUUGAUCAUGGCUCAGAUUGAACGCUGGCGGCAGGCCUAACACAUGCAAGUCGAACGGUAACAGGAAACAGCUUGCUGUUUCGCUGACGAGUGGCGGACGGGUGAGUAAUGUCUGGGAAACUGCCUGAUGGAGGGGGAUAACUACUGGAAACGGUAGCUAAUACCGCAUAACGUCGCAAGACCAAAGAGGGGGACCUUCGGGCCUCUUGCCAUCGGAUGUGCCCAGAUGGGAUUAGCUAGUAGGUGGGGUAACGGCUCACCUAGGCGACGAUCCCUAGCUGGUCUGAGAGGAUGACCAGCCACACUGGAACUGAGACACGGUCCAGACUC